ACAUGCAAGUCGAGGGGCAGCAUGGUCUUAGCUUGCUAAGGCCGAUGGCGACCGGCGCACGGGUGCGUAACGCGUAUCCAACUUGCCCUUGUCCCGGGGACAACCGGUGGAAACGCCGACUAAUCCCCGAUGGGACGGAGGCCCUCAUGGGUCUCUGUUGAAAGUUACGGCGGCGACGGAUUGGCUCGCGUCCGAUUAGCUAGUUGGCGGGGUAACGGCCCACCAAGGCUACGAUCGGUAGGGGUUCUGAGAGGAAGGUCCCCACAAUGGAACUGAGACACGGUCCAUACUCC
RNAcentral lists this ribosomal RNA (293 nucleotides) under uncultured bacterium. RNAcentral describes it as "partial 16S ribosomal RNA". It matches the Rfam family "Bacterial small subunit ribosomal RNA", at positions 53 to 339 of the family's 1533-position model. The record is from RNAcentral.